RNAcentral lists this ribosomal RNA (253 nucleotides) under uncultured bacterium. RNAcentral describes it as "partial 16S ribosomal RNA". It matches the Rfam family "Bacterial small subunit ribosomal RNA", at positions 524 to 776 of the family's 1533-position model. The record is from RNAcentral.
UACGUAGAUGGCGAGCGUUGUCCGGAAUUACUGGGUGUAAAGGGAGUGUAGGCGGGAUCAUAAGUUGCGUGUGAAAUGCAGGGGCUCAACCCCUGAACUGCGCGCAAAACUGUGGUUCUUGAGUGAAGUAGAGGCAGGCGGAAUUCCCGGUGUAGCGGUGGAAUGCGUAGAUAUCGGGAGGAACACCAGUGGCGAAGGCGGCCUGCUGGGCUUUUACUGACGCUGAGGCUCGAAAGCAUGGGGAGCAAACAGG